This 258-nucleotide long non-coding RNA is filed under the name Elaeis guineensis (African oil palm). RNAcentral's name for it is "long non-coding RNA (EGUI_LNC015000)". The record is from RNAcentral. Lineage: Eukaryota; Viridiplantae; Streptophyta; Magnoliopsida; Arecales; Arecaceae.
AUGCAAUGUCGGAUGGAAACUUGGCCCCAGCAAGUAUGGCUGCUGUGAUGCAGACAUCUUAGAGGAACCCGAGGGACAAAAGAGUAAUUCUUUGUACACCGCCGCUUGUGUAAUAAAUCCGAUGUGGAGCGCAUUGAAUGCUGCGAUUAGGCUGCAUGGCACUUACGUAGAAGACAGAAUGGGGCUUCAUUUUGCACCAAGAAAAUGGAGGCAUCCAUCCGUCCGAUCGUGACAUUCAUUAAAUGCUAAUCACAGUUC